UAAAGUCUUCAGGGCAGGGUUAAAUUCCCGACCGGCGGUAAAGUCCGCGAGCAUAGAACUUUAUCUUGAAACUCUUACGCUUUCACAUAUGAGAAUUCUAAAAUAAAGUUUGCAUGAUUCGGUGAAAUUCCGAAACCGACAGUAAAGUCUGGAUGGAAGAAGAUAGUU
Molecule: regulatory RNA element, 168 nt
Organism: Clostridiales bacterium S5-A14a
Lineage: Bacteria; Bacillati; Bacillota; Clostridia; Peptostreptococcales; Anaerovoracaceae
Rfam family: FMN riboswitch aptamer (RFN element)
About the family: The RFN element is a highly conserved domain that is found frequently in the 5'-untranslated regions of prokaryotic mRNAs that encode for flavin mononucleotide (FMN) biosynthesis and transport proteins. This element is a metabolite-dependent riboswitch that directly binds FMN in the absence of proteins.
Source: Rfam